RNAcentral lists this ribosomal RNA (254 nucleotides) under uncultured bacterium. Its description in RNAcentral is "partial 16S ribosomal RNA". It matches the Rfam family "Bacterial small subunit ribosomal RNA", at positions 524 to 776 of the family's 1533-position model. The record is from RNAcentral.
UACGUAGGGUGCAAGCGUUGUCCGGAAUUAUUGGGCGUAAAGAGCUCGUAGGCGGUGUGUCACGUCGUUCGUGAAAACCUGCAGCUUAACUGUGGGCGUGCGGUCGAUACGGGCAUCACUGGAGUUCGGCAGGGGAGACUGGAAUUCCUGGUGUAGCGGUGAAAUGCGCAGAUAUCGGGAGGAACACCGGUGGCGAAGGCGGUUCUCUGGGCCUUACCUGACGCUGAGGAGCGAAAGCGUGGGGAGCGAACAGG